UUUAACAAAGGUACAACAUAACUAAGGACAUAUAAUAACUCGAUACAGGGAACUGGUACGUUGUUAUGUUGUUCUUUGUCCUUGAUGCCCUUGAGAGUCACUUGCAAGAUUGAUAGAUGACUUGAGAGAAUGCUUGAUCAAUUCUUGAAUGUGCAAGUGUUUUGUUUUACCUUUUGCUUGAUGUUAAUAAUUCAUUUGUGACAUCACUUGAAUGAUGCAAGCAAGUUAGGUAAAGGGUAGCUAUAAAGUUGACGGUUGCACUAUUUUUGCACUGCUGCGUGUGCAGGCAACAACUUUACAGCUGGGGGAGUUGGCUUGUACAGUCACCACGGGAACUGGUAGCUAUCUGUUCCUUCUGCUGUUCCUUUGACUCUGAAGAGUUGAACUGUGUCUCCAACUGGAGACUUGCUGAUCUUUAAGUUCUUGAGGAUGUGUAUCAUGUUCCUUAUCUGGUUCUUAAUAGUAAGUUUGUUAGAUCAUCAAAAUAUAACAGGGAUACACAUAUAACCUAUCAAUGAUAAUAACCAUUAUUUUCAGAAAUCAAAUUGAAUUCAACGGAAUCCAACUCAACUCAUAUAGAGUUCAGAACAUAGCUACAAGACUAUCCUCAAUUCAAACCCGCAUUUCUUCCAUCUAAUGAGCUUAAUAAUUCAAUACCCAAUAAUAAUUAAAUUAUUAAAAAUCAUGAAGAAUAAUAUUCAACUAUUUCACAAUCCCAAAAUACUAGUUAUGUCCUCCUCUGCACCUGUUUCUUCAAUUUCAAGAAUACCCACUUCAAUAAUUCACUUAAUCCUCAAUUUAAAUGAUAUUUUCAACUCCUAAAUACCUUCAUUAAGCUCUAUGUCCAUCAUAGUUGAAAGAGAAGAUAAGAAAUCACCUCUUGAAGAAACCAUAGAAAUCCUCUUUUUAAAGUUCUUGGGAGGAAUCCUUGAAAUAAAAUUAAAACACCAUUCUUGCUGCUGUUGUUACUUCUUCUUAUUUGCAAAGAAAAAAACUAGUGGGAUUCAAGCUCACCAGCCCCCUUUAGUGUCGCUAGCGUUUUCAAACACAGAAGAAGGCUCUGUUUCGUUCCCCUC
This 1076-nucleotide long non-coding RNA is filed under the name Nicotiana tabacum (common tobacco). Its description in RNAcentral is "long non-coding RNA (NTAB_LNC012649)". The record is from RNAcentral. Lineage: Eukaryota; Viridiplantae; Streptophyta; Magnoliopsida; Solanales; Solanaceae.